This 253-nucleotide ribosomal RNA is filed under the name uncultured bacterium. Its description in RNAcentral is "partial 16S ribosomal RNA". It matches the Rfam family "Bacterial small subunit ribosomal RNA", at positions 524 to 776 of the family's 1533-position model. The record is from RNAcentral.
GACAGAGGGUGCAAACGUUGUUCGGAAUUACUGGGCGUAAAGCGCGUGUAGGCUGCCUUGCAAGUCGGGUGUGAAAGCCCUGGGCUCAACCUAGGAAGUGCACUCAAAACUGCAAGGCUGGAGUCCUGGAGAGGAAGGCGGAAUUCUCGGUGUAGAGGUGAAAUUCGUAGAUAUCGAGAGGAACACCGGUGGCGAAGGCGGCCUUCUGGACAGUGACUGACGCUGAGACGCGAAAGCGUGGGGAGCAAACAGG